This 2383-nucleotide ribosomal RNA is filed under the name Guillardia theta. RNAcentral's name for it is "partial Bacterial large subunit ribosomal RNA". It matches the Rfam family "Bacterial large subunit ribosomal RNA". The record is from RNAcentral. Lineage: Eukaryota; Cryptophyceae; Pyrenomonadales; Geminigeraceae.
UUUAAAUACUAAGCAAACUGAAACAUCUUACUAGCUUUAGGAAUAAAAAUCAAACGAGAUUUUGCAAGUAAUGGCGAUUGAAAACAAAUUAGAAAUAACUUAAUAAAUUUAUAAAAAUUUGAAAAAAUUUACCUUAGAAGGUUAAAGUCCUAGUAUUAAAUUUAUUUUGUCUUUUAUAAAGUAUCAAGAAUUUUUCUUGUGAAUCUAGUGGUACCUUCCUCUUUUUCUAAAUACUCUUUUAUAACCAAUAGUGAAUAAGUACUUUAUAGGAAAGUUGAAAAAAAUUCUUUAGCAGAAAGUGAAAUAGAAUCUAAAAUUUGAUAUUUACUUCUUGUUGAUAUUUCGUAUUACGAAACAACGACGUGCCUUUUGUAUCAUGAAUUAGCAAGUUUAUUAUAGUAGCAAGCUUAAAAUUAUCUUUGAAAGCGUAGUGAUAACAAGCAUAAAUACGAAAUAGUUACUUUAAUAAGACCCGAAUCUAAGUGAUCUAACUAUGAACAAGUUGAAAAUAUAUGAAAAUAUAUAGAAAGACUACACUCGUUGCUGUUGCAAAAGCUUGGGAUGAUUUGUAGUUAGGGGUGAAAGGCCAAUCAAACUUAGUUAUAGCUGGUUUUUUGCGAAAAAUAUUUAGGUAUUGCGUAAACAAAAAAAAAUAAAGGGUAAAGCUCUUUUUUGUUUAAAAAGAUUUAUUAUCUUAUAACAACAUUAUAAACUAAGAAUAUUUAUUUUUUUGUUUGCAGUCAGACUAUGGGUGCUAAGAUUCAUAGUCAAAAGGGAUACAGCCCAGAUUAUAAGUUAAGGCCCUUAAACAGUAUAGUUUUAAGGUGACUUCAAAAUUACGAUAAUCAGAAGGUAGGCUUGGAAUCAGCCAUCCUUUAAAAAAUGCGUAACAGCAUACUGACUGAAUGCAAUUUUGAUUACUUUAAAUUCAAGGUAAAUAUACUUGCCGAAGCUAUAAACUUUUAAAGAGUGGUAGCAAAACGUUUUUAUCAGUUAAAAAAAAAUAGAGAUAUUUUUUGAAUGUAAAAAAGUGAAUAUGCUAAUAUUAGUAACGUUUUUAAUGUAUAAAUCAUUAACACCAUAAGUCAAAGGUUUUUUGUGUAAUUUUUCAACACAAAGUUAUUCGGUCUCUAAGAACUUAUACUAAAGUUAUUUUCGAUGAGUUUAUCAUUUGUUUAUUUAACUAUUGACAAUAAAGAUUAGUAGCUUUUUUUGUUUUCUUCGUUAUUUCUAGAAAAACAUGAUAUCAAUUACCGUACUGAACCAACACUGGAUGACUUUUUAAUACAAAGGUGAGUAGAAUAAUUAUUUUUAAGGAACUCGGCAAAUUUUUUCUGUAACUUCGGGAUAAAGAAAACCUAUAUAGGUCUAAAAAAGGGGAUAGCGACUGGUUACUAAAACCACAAGACUUUGCUAAAUUGAAAAAUGACGUAUAAGGUCUGAUGCCUGCCCAAUGUCGUAUUGUAAAAAAAAAUGAUUUAUGUUAUUUUUCUAAGCUUCGAUAAAUGGCAGUCGUAACUCUAACGAUUCAAAGGUAGCGAAAUUCCUAGUCAAUUAAUUGUUGACCCGCAUGAAUGGCAUAACGACUUUCCCACUGUCUCAAGAAUAACUCUAGUGAAUUUAGAUUUCGUGUGAAGAUACACAAACACAAAAGUAAGACGGAAAGACCCUAUAAACCUUUACUAUGAUUUUUUAUUGUUGAUGUAUAUGUUUUGUGUAGAAUAAGUGGAAGCUGUUAUUAAGCCUCAACUUUAUUGUUGAUUGCUGAAGCAAUAAUUGAAAUACCACUCUAAACAUAUUCAUUGACUCAUUUUUUUGACACUGAAAAUUUCAUAGUUUAACUGGGGCGGUAGUCUCCUAAAAUGUAACGGAGAUCUGCAAAAGCAAGUUCAAAUUCAAUUCAUUGAAUUGUAGAGUGUAAUGGCAUAAACUUGUUUGACUGGAAGAGUUACAACUCUACCAGAGACUUCAUGUCGGUCAUAAUGAUCCGAAAUUUAUACAUGGGUAUAAUUUCGCAUAAGGGAUAAAAGGUACUUUAGGGAUAACAGGCUUAUGAUUCUCGAGAGUUCAUAUCGACAGGAUCGUUUGGCACCUCGAUGUCGACUCUUCGCAUCCUGGAGCCGCAGAAGGUUCCAAAGGUUCGGCUGUUCGCCGAUUAAAGCGGAACGUGAGUUGGGUUUAGAACGUUGUAAAACAGUUUGGUCCCUAUCUGCUUUUGUUGUAAAAAAAGUGAAAAGAUUUAUCUUUAGUACGAGAGGACCAAGAUAAAACAACCUCUUAUAUUUCAAUUGUUUGCUGUAAAUAUUUGAUUUGUUAUGUUGUUUUUUUUAAUUACUGAAAACAUCAAUGUAAGAAAAAAACUUUAAAACAACUUUUUUAUAUG